GACAGAGGUGCCGAGCGUUAGGCGGAAUCACUGGGCUUAAAGCGUGUGUAGGCGGAUCUCUAAGUACCUUGUGAAAUCCCACGGCUCAACCGUGGAACUGCUGGGUAUACUGAAGGUCUUGAGCCACCUAGGGGCGAGCGGAACAAAUGGUGGAGCGGUGAAAUGCGUAGAUAUCAUUUGGAACGCCAAUGGUGAAAACAGCUCGCUGGGGGUGUGCUGACGCUGAGACACGAAAGCCAGGGGAGCAAACGGG
This 253-nucleotide ribosomal RNA is filed under the name uncultured bacterium. Its description in RNAcentral is "partial 16S ribosomal RNA". It matches the Rfam family "Bacterial small subunit ribosomal RNA", at positions 524 to 776 of the family's 1533-position model. The record is from RNAcentral.